CGCGGAUGUAGCAAUACAUCUGGCGGCGAGCGGCGGACGGGUGAGGAAUGCGUCGGAAUCUGCCUCUUUGUGGGGGAUAACGUAGGGAAACUUACGCUAAUACCGCAUACGACCUACGGGUGAAAGUGGGGGACCGCAAGGCCUCACGCAGAGAGAUGAGCCGACGCCGGAUUAGCUAGUUGGCGGGGUAAAGGCCCACCAAGGCGACGGUCCGUAGCUGGUCUGAGAGGAUGAUCAGCCACACUGGAACUGAGACACGGUCCAGACUCCUACGGGAGGCAGCAGUGGGGAAUAUUGGACAAUGGGCGCAAGCCUGAUCCAGCCAUGCCGCGUGUGUGAAGAAGGCCUUCGGG
Molecule: ribosomal RNA, 353 nt
Filed under: uncultured bacterium
Lineage: Bacteria
Description: bacterial SSU rRNA
Rfam family: Bacterial small subunit ribosomal RNA
Source: RNAcentral